RNAcentral lists this ribosomal RNA (955 nucleotides) under bacterium IARFR2486. Its description in RNAcentral is "bacterial SSU rRNA". It matches the Rfam family "Bacterial small subunit ribosomal RNA", at positions 56 to 1003 of the family's 1533-position model. The record is from RNAcentral.
UGCAAGUCGAGGGGCAGCAUGAACUUAGCUUGCUAAGUUUGAUGGCGACCGGCGCACGGGUGAGUAACACGUAUCCAACCUGCCGAUGACUCGGGGAUAGCCUUUCGAAAGAAAGAUUAAUACCCGAUGGCAUAGUUCUUCCGCAUGGUAGAACUAUUAAAGAAUUUCGGUCAUCGAUGGGGAUGCGUUCCAUUAGGUUGUUGGCGGGGUAACGGCCCACCAAGCCUUCGAUGGAUAGGGGUUCUGAGAGGAAGGUCCCCCACAUUGGAACUGAGACACGGUCCAAACUCCUACGGGAGGCAGCAGUGAGGAAUAUUGGUCAAUGGACGAGAGUCUGAACCAGCCAAGUAGCGUGAAGGAUGACUGCCCUAUGGGUUGUAAACUUCUUUUAUACGGGAAUAAAGUGAGGCACGUGUGCCUUUUUGUAUGUACCGUAUGAAUAAGGAUCGGCUAACUCCGUGCCAGCAGCCGCGGUAAUACGGAGGAUCCGAGCGUUAUCCGGAUUUAUUGGGUUUAAAGGGAGCGUAGGCGGACGCUUAAGUCAGUUGUGAAAGUUUGCGGCUCAACCGUAAAAUUGCAGUUGAUACUGGGUGUCUUGAGUACAGUAGAGGCAGGCGGAAUUCGUGGUGUAGCGGUGAAAUGCUUAGAUAUCACGAAGAACUCCGAUUGCGAAGGCAGCUUGCUGGACUGUAACUGACGCUGAUGCUCGAAAGUGUGGGUAUCAAACAGGAUUAGAUACCCUGGUAGUCCACACAGUAAACGAUGAAUACUCGCUGUUUGCGAUAUACAGUAAGCGGCCAAGCGAAAGCGUUAAGUAUUCCACCUGGGGAGUACGCCGGCAACGGUGAAACUCAAAGGAAUUGACGGGGGCCCGCACAAGCGGAGGAACAUGUGGUUUAAUUCGAUGAUACGCGAGGAACCUUACCCGGGCUUGAAUUGCAACUGAAUGAUGUGG